GCGCAGCAGGCGAGAAACUUCACAAUGUGCGAAAGCACGAUGAGGGAAUCCCAAGUGCUUGCACGUAAGUGUAAGCUGUUUCUCUGUCUAAAACGCAGAGAGAGUAAGGGCUGGGUAAGACGGGUGCCAGCCGCCGCGGUAAUACCUGCAGCCCAAGUGGUGACCGUUAUUAUUGGGGCCUAAAAACGUCCGUAGCCGGUUUAAUAAAUGCCUGGGUAAAAUUGUGUAGCUUAACUAUACGAAUUCCGGGUAGACUGUUAAACUUGAGACCGGGAGAAGUUAGAGGUACUCCUGGGGUAGAGGUGAAAUUCUGUAAUCCUAGGGGGACCACCAGUGGCGAAGGCGUCUAACUAGAACGGGUCUGACGGUGAGGGACGAAGCCCUGGGGCGCAAACGGGAUUAGAUACCCGUGUAGU
Molecule: ribosomal RNA, 416 nt
Filed under: uncultured microorganism
Description: bacterial SSU rRNA
Rfam family: Archaeal small subunit ribosomal RNA
Source: RNAcentral